CUGCUCUGUAUUGUGUUACAGGACAAGCCAAGGGGCAGCACUGCCAGGGUUUGCUUUAGCAGCUUGCUGGGCCACCAGAUGUAUCCAAAUACGUGGUUCUGAUACCUGAGCCUCAUUUUCCCAAGCUGGCUUUUGUAGGAGGGAGUAGAGUUGAAGGGACCUCUUGGGUCAUUUGUGAAAUCUGGGCUCUGGGACAAGCCCUGGUCAAGGUGUUUCAUGCUUCUGAGACUCAGAGCCUGCUCUCAUCCCCCAGAAAGAAGUCCUAACCCUGGGCUGCUCAGCUGCAGACACAGCCCUAAGGAGCUGUGCCAUGAACCCUACCAGCAGGGAGAAACUGAACUGAGAUGUGCAGCUACAAGGAAUUUCACCCUGCUCUUUCUCCAAGCCUGGAACAGCAAACUCACUACAGAGACCUUGGAGUGUGGCAAGAGGUUCAAAAUAAAGUCUCUGUAAAGGAAAGGCCAGAAAGCACUGCUCCAGGCCAUUGCAAAGGGUGAGCCAAAGGGCUUGGGUAUCAUCCAUGUGAAGAUUCACCAACAAAUGGGACAGUUACA
This 554-nucleotide long non-coding RNA is filed under the name Cyanistes caeruleus (blue tit). Its description in RNAcentral is "lncRNA (ENSCCEG00000014580.1)". Lineage: Eukaryota; Metazoa; Chordata; Aves; Passeriformes; Paridae. The record is from RNAcentral.